This 253-nucleotide ribosomal RNA is filed under the name uncultured bacterium. RNAcentral describes it as "partial 16S ribosomal RNA". It matches the Rfam family "Bacterial small subunit ribosomal RNA", at positions 524 to 776 of the family's 1533-position model. The record is from RNAcentral.
UACAGAGGGUGCGAGCGUUGUCCGGAAUUACUGGGCGUAAAGGGCGCGUAGGCGGCUUGGUAAGUCGGGGGUGAAAGUCAGCGGCUCAACCGCUGGACUGCUUUCGAGACUGCCUGGCUUGAGCAUGGUAGAGGCUGGCGGAAUUCCCGGUGUAGCGGUGGAAUGCGUAGAGAUCGGGAAGAACAUCGGUGGCGAAGGCGGCCAGCUGGGCCAUUGCUGACGCUGAGGCGCGACAGCGUGGGGAGCAAACAGG